RNAcentral lists this ribosomal RNA (429 nucleotides) under Chloroflexota bacterium. RNAcentral describes it as "Chloroflexi bacterium partial 16S ribosomal RNA". It matches the Rfam family "Bacterial small subunit ribosomal RNA", at positions 355 to 776 of the family's 1533-position model. Lineage: Bacteria; Bacillati; Chloroflexota. The record is from RNAcentral.
UGGGGAAUAUUGCACAAUGGGCGCAAGCCUGAUGCAGCCAUGCCGCGUGUAUGAAGAAGGCCUUCGGGUUGUAAAGUACUUUCAGCGGGGAGGAAGGGAGUAAAGUUAAUACCUUUGCUCAUUGACGUUACCUGCAGAAGAAGCACCGGCUAACUCCGUGCCAGCAGCCGCGGUAAUACGGAGGGUGCAAGCGUUAAUCGGAAUUACUGGGCGUAAAGCGCACGCAGGCGGUUUGUUAAGUCAGAUGUGAAAUCCCCGGGCUCAACCUGGGAACUGCAUCUGAUACUGGCAAGCUUGAGUCUCGUAGAGGGGGGUAGAAUUCCAGGUGUAGCGGUGAAAUGCGUAGAGAUCUGGAGGAAUACCGGUGGCGAAGGCGGCCCCCUGGACGAAGACUGACGCUCAGGUGCGAAAGCGUGGGGAGCAAACAGG